CCAGUCGGCCGGGCGGCCGCACCCGCAAUCGCCGAAAGGUGGUGGGUGAGGAAAGUCCGGGCUCCAUGGAAAUGCGGUGCCGGCUAACGGCCGGCGGGGGCGACCCCAGGGAAAGUGCCACAGAAAGCAGACCGCCGCGCUUAUUGCGCGGUAAGGGUGAAAGGGUGGGGUAAGAGCCCACCGCGCGCCUGGCAACAGGAGCGGCACGGCAAACCCCACCGGGAGCAAGACCGAAUAGGGAUGGCUUGGAGGGCAACCUUCAGGGGCUGUUUCCGGCUCGCCAUCCGGGUAGGUUGCGUGAGAUGCGUGGCAACACGCAUCCAAGAUGAAUGGCCGCCACGUUCCCGUUUCGCAAGAGGCGGGGCCAUACAAAACCCGGCUUACAGGCCGACUGGCACU
RNAcentral lists this RNase P RNA (399 nucleotides) under Manganibacter manganicus. RNAcentral describes it as "Pseudaminobacter manganicus Bacterial RNase P class A". It matches the Rfam family "Bacterial RNase P class A". From Rfam's summary of the family: Ribonuclease P (RNase P) is a ubiquitous endoribonuclease, found in archaea, bacteria and eukarya as well as chloroplasts and mitochondria. Lineage: Bacteria; Pseudomonadati; Pseudomonadota; Alphaproteobacteria; Hyphomicrobiales; Phyllobacteriaceae. The record is from Rfam by way of RNAcentral.